CUACAUCAGUACUCCAGGUAGUACUACUACCAACCUUCUAAUACUACAUCAGUACUCCAGGUAGUACUACUACCAACCUUCUAAUACUACAUCAGUACUCCAGGUAGUACUACUACCAACCUUCUAAUACUACAUCAGUACUCCAGGUAGUACUACUACCAACCUUCUAAUACUACAUCAGUACUCCAGGUAGUACUACUACCAACCUUCUAAUACUACAUCAGUACUCCAGGUAGUACUGCUACCAACCUUCUAAUACUACAUCAGUACUCCAGGUAGUACUACUACCAACCUUCUAAUACUACAUCAGUACUCCAGGUAGUACUACUACCAACCUUCUAAUACUACAUCAGUACUCCAGGUAGUACUACUACCAACCUUCUAAUACUACAUCAGUACUCCAGGUAGUACUACUACCAACCUUCUAAUACUACAUCAGUACUCCAGGUAGUACUGCUACCAACCUUCUAAUACUACAUCAGUACUCCAGGUAGU
Acanthochromis polyacanthus (spiny chromis) is the source of this 495-nucleotide long non-coding RNA. RefSeq lists it as uncharacterized. The record is from RefSeq and is a predicted model, not a curated record. NCBI's taxonomy places the organism in Eukaryota, Metazoa, Chordata, Actinopteri, Pomacentridae. The transcript has 4 exons.